AUUUUACCUUUUUCAUUAAAGAAAAUUGAUAUUUUUCUCUAUAUACGUGAGAAUUCAACAAAAAUAAUUUUAAUUUAUACCCUAAUAUAAAAGGUGAGACGAUACCACUCCCUGGGAUGGUGAAUGGUUCCCCACGCCGCCUGCUGCCAUUCCUAGACUCACUGGUUAAAUUGUUUUCUUCCUUUCAACUCUUAAUUCGAAUCUUUUGUUUUUCUAAAAUGCCAGGCACCUUGGGCUCCAGCACUGCAUGCUAACAAGAUGAGACAGACUGUUUAAGAAACAGACAACCAGUCAAACUGCAAGAAAGGCCCAUAAGAGCUGUUCAAUACUGGCACAGCCUUGUUCAGUCCUGCAAACAGAAUGUACAAAUGACUACUGCAAAUGAGCAAAUCAGUUUCAACUCAGCCGGAUACCAAUAACAUUUCAUUUGGAAUGCCCCAACUCUUUUAAUUUUGAACUAUAAUGUAUUGAGCCCUAUGGUAGA
Molecule: unclassified non-coding RNA, 484 nt
Filed under: Hevea brasiliensis (rubber tree)
Lineage: Eukaryota; Viridiplantae; Streptophyta; Magnoliopsida; Malpighiales; Euphorbiaceae
Source: RNAcentral